UAAGCCUGGGAAACUGGGUCUAAUACCGGAUAUGACUCCUCAUCGCAUGGUGGGGGGUGGAAAGCUUUUUGUGGUUUUGGAUGGACUCGCGGCCUAUCAGCUUGUUGGUGAGGUAAUGGCUUACCCAGGCGACGACAGGUAGCCGGCCUGAGAGGGUGACCGGCCACACUGGGACUGAGACACGGCCCACACUCCUACGGGAGGCAGCAGUGGGGAAUAUUGCACAAUGGGCGCAAGCCUGAUGCAGCGACGCCGCGUGAGGGAUGACGGCCUUCUGGUUGUAAACCUCUUUCAGUAGGGAAGAAGCGAAAGUGACGGUACCUGCAGAAGAAGCGCCGGCUAACUACGUGCCAGCAGCCGCGGUAAUACGUAGGGCGCAAGCGUUAUCCGGAAUUAUUGGGCGUAAAGAGCUCGUAGGCGGUUUGUCGCGUCUGCCGUGAAAGUCCGGGGCUCAACUCCGGAUCUGCGGUGGGUACGGGCAGACUAGAGUGAUGUAGGGGAGACUGGAAUUCCUGGUGUAGCGGUGAAAUGCGCAGAUAUCAGGAGGAACACCGAUGGCGAAGGCAGGUCUCUGGGCAUUAACUGACGCUGAGGAGCGAAAGCAUGGGGAGCGAACAGGAUUAGAUACCCUGGUAGUCCAUGCCGUAAACGUUGGGCACUAGGUGUGGGGGGACAUUCCACGUUUUCCGCGCCGUACUAACGCAUUAAGUGCCCCGCCUGGGGAGUACGGCCGCAAGGCUAAAACUCAAAGGAAUUGACGGGGGCCCGCACAAGCGGCGGAGCAUGCGGAUUAAUUCGAUGCAACGCCGAAGAACCUUACCAAGGGCUUGACAUGAACCGGGAAAUACCUGGACGACAGGUGCCCCGCUUGCGGUCGGUUUACAGGUGGUGCAUGGUUGUCGUCAGCUCGUGUCGUGAGAUGUUGGGUUAAGUCCCGCAACGAGCGCAACCCUCGUUCUAUGUUGCCAGCACGUGAUGGUGGGGACUCAUAGGAGACUGCCGGGGUCAACUCGGAGGAAGGUGGGGACGACGUCAAAUCAUCAUGCCCCUUAUGUCUUGGGCUUCACGCCUGCUACAAUGGCCGGUACAAAGGGUUGCGAUACUGUGAGGUGGAGCUAAUCCCAAAAAGCCGGUCUCAGUUCGGAUUGGGGUCUGCAACUCGACCC
This 1166-nucleotide ribosomal RNA is filed under the name Pseudarthrobacter sp. RNAcentral's name for it is "bacterial SSU rRNA". It matches the Rfam family "Bacterial small subunit ribosomal RNA", at positions 144 to 1318 of the family's 1533-position model. The record is from RNAcentral. Lineage: Bacteria; Bacillati; Actinomycetota; Actinomycetes; Micrococcales; Micrococcaceae.